RNAcentral lists this long non-coding RNA (6725 nucleotides) under Homo sapiens (human). Its description in RNAcentral is "HSALNT0101375". The record is from RNAcentral. Lineage: Eukaryota; Metazoa; Chordata; Mammalia; Primates; Hominidae.
GCGGGAGCCUUGAGAGAGACCCCCUGAGUUUCCCAUGGGGAGCUGAAGUUUGGUUCCUGCCUCUCACUGUGCAUGGUGAUUUAAAAUACGUACCCAUCAUGGGAUACAUGUUGACUGAAUCCACCUGCAUUGGGAUGACUGCUGCAGAAGGCAUUGACUCUGUUUCAUCCCUGCACUUAUUUGGGCUCAUGUGCAAUGCUGAGCUACCCAGAGGACAUCUGUGAACUUGGAAUAGAAAACAGAGUACAAAGAACUCAUCAGAACACCACAGACAGGACCUCUUGAUCACUGGAGAAGCUAUUCAGGCAGCCACUGUCCCCAGAGAACCCCAGGAAAGAACAAAAACAGGGGUGUCAUUUUGGAGCCUUCAGUCAAGAAUCAUCUCCUGUUCUUGGCUGGGCUGCCAUGAGGGUGGGGUGCACACAGAGCCCUGGGAAAGGAAGAAAACACGGUUGCAACACCACUAUUUUGUUUCUUCUAACACCCUCCUUUUUCCCCACUCACAUUUGAGCACUUACGGGCAUCAUUUGUUCUAAAACAAAGGAAGAAAAAUAUAUCUGUUAUGAGUUCCCUCUGUGCUUGACUGAGUUACCUGGCAUUGGGAUGGCUUGUUUUCUGGGAUGCCCAGAGCUGUACACAUUCCUUUCUGGGGUGAAUACUUCGUAUAGAGAGACAUAAACAGCCAACUAGGCUGCAGGGAGUAAACCCUGUUACUAACUUUUCUUUCUUUGGUGCUACAUUCCUGCGGAGAUAAAUAUAUAGAAAGACAGACAGAUUAUAAAGGAGGAAGGGCAUUGUGUCAGCAUGAGGGCUCCAAGAGAACAAAAAGGGUUAUCGUGUGCAAAGGUUGAAAAUAGAAUUUAAAGCUAUCAGGACUGGGGAAAGAGUUGAGGCCUCCCAGGAAAAAUCUGCAAAGAAAACUUGAACCUUCCAGGAAAACAAGCCCUGGGUAGAGUUGGGUGAAACUGAAACCUGAAAAUCCAUUUUCCAGAAAUGCGAUUGGGCAGAGAGGAGGGAAGCCACUACUAUCAAGUUUUUCCCAGAGCAAGCAAGGCACGCUGGCUUUGUACAAAGAGGCUUAUUUAGAAGCUGCCCUGAGCUGAAUGCAGGCAGGUGGGGCAGGGUGGGAGGGUGGGAUGGGUCGUUGAAAUGAGCCAUCCUAACCUUUCAGACAGAAACAGUGCAGCCUAGCUGCUCUGAGGUGCAUGUUUCUAAAACAAGACCUGGAACAUUAAUUUUACAUUUCAGUCUCUUUGUAAAAAGCAGAUGCUCCUCGCCCACCCCCUUGUUUUUUUUUGGCAAGCUUGUGAAAAUCCAACGAACCAAGUCAAGGCUGUCCGCUAGCCACGGGUGCCUUUAUCUUGUGGAGUAUCUGUUCCUUUGUGGAUCAAGCAUGGAAUGAAAACCGUGCUGAAGAAAGGUCGCUUCUCAUUUUAGACUCCAUUUCAAUGGGUAGUUAACCUCUGAGUCAACCGACUCUGUACCCAUGUUCAAUUUCCUCCGCCUGUUGGGCUCUUCCAUUUACCCUCUUUUAUAAUUAGAGUACAUCUUGUUUACAGUGCACAAAGCUGGUUUAAGAUCCAGUUGGCCAUGUGCCCUCUCGUUACAGGACCGUGCUCAGAACAGUCAGCUGUGAGUGCAGCCAGUGGGAUGAAAAAAACUAAGGGAAGGAAGCUGCCCUUUAAGGAACCUCGGCCUUACUGAUUAAAGUAAUAAUUAAGCCAUUAUAUCUGUUGGGGAGCUAUUUGGGCUUGCCUGCUACCUUUUCCAACAAAAGCCCUCAGCCAGAGAUUCCAGCCAAGCACCUCAUUAUCAUGUGGGUGCCAGGGCGGCAUGCCAGGAUCGGCACCCACCCCAGGCAACAUGGUUUAAAUUUUAAACACCUGUCAUCUCCCUGCCUCCAUGUAUCAUUCAUUUUCAGAGGGGAAAGUGACCCUAACAGGAAGUGGGGCUGCCUGAUUCUGGGUUUGCCUUUGAAAGCCAGAAAUGACCCUUCUCCUGAAAUUUUAUUCCAAAUUUAAUUUGAAGCUAUCUCAGUCUAGAAAUAGAUUUGCAUUGGCAUCUCUUGUUGCAGUUGGUAAGGAAAGGAAUUUAGGAUUCAAUUAGAAUUGGUCUUCAUUCUUAACAAGAUUGUUGUCUUAAAGACAAGAAAUAUAUAGCAUGUCUCACUGCAUCCCUCCACUCCCCACCAUGGCAAAAAGGGCCCUGGCAUGCAUAUGUGAUUUUGUGACAUGCAAAGAUCCACUUUUACAACUCCAUGGAGGCAUAUCUUAUUUAGAGAACACUAAGGUAGUUUAAGGCUCUCACUGGCCACUUGCCUUCUUAAAACAGAGACAACCUAUGGAUUAGAGAGGAAGCAAGACUGGAGAAGGCAGUUUGCACCGAUUGGGGCAGGGCAGGUAGAGGAGUGAGCAUGGUUGUAAUAAACUGGGUGGAAUUUAAGGUCUCAGUCCAAAGGCAUCCCAUCUUGCUCCUUCUGGACCCCGUCUCAAGCCUGGCUCCAGCUCCUGAGUCCCACGGCUCUCCAAGGCCUCUUUCUGUUCAUCACAGCCUACGGAGAGAGAUGCAAAGUGGUUUGUGUUUAUUUUAGAAAUAAUCUCAACGUUGCCAGGAAAAGGCUUUCUGGAAAAUGCUGCAGAACUAAAGCUGGUCCAGUAGAAACCGGUUCCAGAGUCUCUUUCACACCAGCCACGCUGCCAGCAUUGUCGGGAGGUUUGAUGUGGUGUGAAUUCCUGCCCCUGGGAGAUGGACGGAGAAAUUCACAGAAUCUUGGGAAAAGAGAGCUUGGGAAAAUCCUGAAGUCUCUCUUUGCAGCCUUUCUUCUACCAACAGACAAGAUGGAAACUGGCCAUUUCAGAGCACUGGCUUCAAGGAUGUCUAAGGGUGUACUCCAACAUGAAAACGGAGCAUGCAUGUGAGCUGAGUAGUGACAUGCAACAUGCAUGUCCAUUGAUCCUUGCUGCUCAUUCACAUACAGUGUUCGCGAUGCCCCCUGGACACAGAAUUCCAGUGGACCCACCACGUGUGGGGAUUCAGGGGAGACUCAAAGCAAAUACAAGGUUCCAUACAGAUAGCCAGCCAUGGGAGUCAGAAUUUGAACUCAGAUCUGGUCUGGUUCUGAAGCCUCUCUUCUUUCCAGCUGUGAGACAAAGGAGCAAAUAUGAGAAGCACCUUUUGCUCACUUCUGCUUGCCAGCAGAAUUUCACAAAAGCCCUGGACUGUGAAGAUGUUUGGAAAGAUGCUUUGAAGACAAAACCUUUAACAGGGUUAGUGUUUAUGCCUCUGUAAUCUACAACCGGAUGCGCUCUUACACCCAAGCCUUGAUGGGAUUCUGCUGCGACGGAAAUUCUGAGCAAAUUUGAUGUGAUUGUGCAGGUACUGAACCUCCACUUCCUGUCUGUAAGCAGUGGGCUGAAAUCCUGGGCUGGAGCAGUCUCAUAGGAUCUGACAGGCUGUUGCCAGGCUGUAGGCCUUGGUCUGUAGUCCUCAGUAAGACUUCUGAAUACAACUAACUUUAAUUCUUUAAAAGCUUGACUGUUUUCUUUAGUCGGCAUGGCAUUCCAUACCAUUCCAGAAACAGAAGCCAGGAGGAUACGUGAAGGAGAGAGCAAUGGCAUAGUGUGUGAAGCUGAUUAGCUGUUAACUAGCAGAACUGAGAGAAGGCAGCCGGCCAAAUGCCCCGGAGGGGCAAGGAAAAGCUUUUUCAGAGAGUUGGGAAGUGGCACUCCAGUGAGGUCGGAAGCCAUGAAGGUUGACUUAUUUAUUCCACAGUAGCUACAAGAAGAGGGGUCUUUCUAGGGAGUGUGACCAGUUUAAGCAAAGGCUUGGGAGGAGGAAUAAUAACGUGCUGGAAGUGGGAAAGGGGACCUGGUUAAGGGGCUGAAAGUUAUUCCUUGUGGAUCACCUUCUCAUCACACGCUCUUUGACCUCAUUGUAGUUCAAUGGAGGGAAAGAGAGUCAAAAGCAGGAGGGAAGUUUGUUUCUAAGCGGACAGGGGCUCAGCAAACCCAGUCUUCCCCGCAGUCUUACCUGGAGCCAUUGCCUGGGGAAGAGGGUGUUCAGGCCACAGUAUCCCAAGGCUGGGGGCACCUUUGCUCAGAAGCCCCCUGUGGUGCUGCUCCUCAAGAGCCUCCUGGGAGGAAGGGCCAGGGAGCCAGGCGGUUCUCCCUUCCCCUUCUGGAAUCCUGGCCAGUUUCCAUGUACAUAACCCAGCUUAAUCCAUAGAAACAGGAGCUGCAAGGCAUGUUCUUUCUCUUUUUUUCCUCUCCAAGACACGGAAACCUUUAUUUUCUCCCUACAUCACAAACCGGUACUGUUAAAUAAUAUUGGAUAAUUGCACCUGUCGUACUCCCCAUAUUGUGCUGGGGAAAAAUAAUUGCUGGUUUUCUGCUUUGCCGUUUAGCUGUGACUCCGUCAUUUGACUCGGAGCAUGUCAUUUUCUCCCAUUUUAGACCGUGUACAGUCAAACCCUGUGAAAGGACUCACAGAUAGCGGCCCUGCGUGUAUGAGUGGGCGCGGGCCUCAUUCAGCAACGAUUUCUAAUUUAUACAGCAUUGAAUAUCCACAGCUAUAAAUAAACAGUUCUGACUGGCUUUGCUGCCUACUCAAAUGCUUUAUUAAAAAAAAAAAAGUCACCAGCAACUGCAUGAGAAAGGAAAACAAGAAUGUCUGGAUGUGGAUUCUGGCUUCUGAAUCCUGGGCUUGGGAGUGGAGACGCCCCACCUUGGGAGCGGCUCAGUGCUCAGCCCCUCCAGUUUUUGGAAGGCCUGGCCUCCUCGCUCCUCGCUCAGCCCCUCACGCUCCCCACGUGUGGGUGCAAUGUGUUUGGGGAUUACAGUAUAUGAAACUGGCUUCCUGUUAUGACAAGUAUUGCAAGUGAGUAGGUGUGGAGGAGCUGAAAAUAGCUUAAGAAAUGUAGGACCCUUCUGGGGAGAGAAUGGGGUUAAGGCAUUGUUUAGGCAACAAGACGAAUCUUCUACCCAAAUUCAAAAUUGGUUUCAAAUGUGAGACAGCAACACUGGAACAGAAGCAUGAGUAUAGGCCAGUCCCUGGGGUAGUGGUGGCAGCGUCCUUCCUCCUCCUGUAACGGGGACAGUUUCCACCAAUUUGGGAUCUCUUGACCACCUUCUUUUGUCCAGCUCUGCAAGAUGUGGACACAUUUCUGUUUUGUUUUUUAAAUAAAGUUUUUGGAUGACCCGGUACUGCUUUGCUCUGUAAGAAAGAGGAAGGAAAGUGGGCUCAGGAGUCAACUAUCCAUGUGACCUUGGACUUGUCAUUUCCCUGCUCUGAACGCAGAGGUGUGCUGGAGCCAGUUUGCACAACAGGCUCUCGAGGACUAAGUGGUUGUCCACAUCUCUUCCCAACUGUACAUUCAGCAACGUGCUGCCAGCUUGAAAAAGGCCAUGGGGAGAGUGUUUACACCAUGGAAAUGAGCACACAUUAUCAAUCAGAGCCUGACAUCUUUUCCCCAGAGAGCUGGUUGUUAAACCUUUCCCAGCACACCACCCUCAGAAACUCAGUUUGCUCAUUUGUAAAAUGAGAACGUAACUCAUCUCCUACUUACGAAGUUUCCGUGGGCUAGAAUAAGUGGGAGUGGUGAUGAAUUACUUGACACUACACAAAUAUUGCUGGUAUCAUCAUGUGGUUGCUAUAGUUGUCAUUUUCUAUUAAGGGCCUAACAUAGUGCUAUGCAAUCUGCAAAUACCAUAUACCUUUUAGCAAAUGUUUAAUCAGUGUGUUAUUGUUUUGUUGUGUAUCUUUUCUUAAGCUACUGCAGCACCGAGCAUGCCCUUGUGUGCUUAGGCAUGUGCUCAAUGGGAAAUUGUUCCGAGACAUUUCUAGUGUUGGAAGAGAUAUUGCACAAUGGCCAGGCAUGCUGCAAUCAAGGUUUAAUUUGGUCCUAGGGCCAGUAAAGCCACAAAUAGAAAUUUGCAGGCUCAUCCCCACCAAGAGCUUACUGUGACUGAGAGUUACGCAGCCCGAGUCACCUCUGGGGUGUGGAACAUUUGGGUGAUCCCCCGAGGGCUUCACGUUUGGGGAAUUUCCACUGUGGCAACUGUUUCUGAGCUCCUGCUGAGACCAGGUGCUUGGAGCAGUGAAGAGGCAGCAGUAGAUGUGGGGAAAGAGGUGGUAUUCCCAGCUCCAACUGGAAAAGACUUGAGGCCCAUAUUAACAGAACAGUAGAAAAAGAAGUGGGAAUUAAGCAGGUUUCUUGGUGCCUGCCCUGGUCUUCCCUUAGGCUGCCUUCCCACCUGAGAUAUUCUGUCCUCUUCUGUAACCCUUCAAGACCACUCUUGCUCAUUUUUACCAGAUUUCUCCUACAUAAUGUUAGGUUGGGAAGUCCAAGUCCAAUUUCCUUCAGUGUCCACACCCCAACCCAUAUGAGCCUAGUGACAUACUAGUAGACUCAAAUAUGUCUACCCACCAAUAGCCAUUUGCCAUUUGUGUUCUUUAAAAAAUGUGCCCACAAAUAAAGGCCAGGAAAAUAACACUAGGAAAAUCACAGCAGGGAUCAUGAAUCCUUGUUAAGCAUCUGGAAAUCAGCUUUGUUAAACCACACACUAAUUCAGAAAAGUGCUUUGUAGCAAAGCAAUCUCAACAGCCCUUAUAAUUCUAUCACUUCCCAUCCAGAUUCUUCUGCAAGCAAAAUUUAUUACUAUACCAUUUAUUUGAUGAAUUAAUCAAUGUUCAAAUGGAAGAGGUUUUGACAAUGUCACUAUGUUUGA